This 403-nucleotide ribosomal RNA is filed under the name uncultured bacterium. RNAcentral's name for it is "bacterial SSU rRNA". It matches the Rfam family "Bacterial small subunit ribosomal RNA", at positions 355 to 775 of the family's 1533-position model. The record is from RNAcentral.
UGGGGAAUAUUGCACAAUGGGCGAAAGCCUGAUGCAGCAACGCCGCGUGAGUGAUGACGGUCUUCGGAUUGUAAAGCUCUGUCUUUGGGGACGAUAAUGACGGUACCCAAGGAGGAGGCCACGGCUAACUACGUGCCAGCAGCCGCGGUAAUACGUAGGUGGCAAGCGUUGUCCGGAUUUACUGGGCGUAAAGGGUGCGUAGGCGGACCUUUAAGUGAGAUGUGAAAUCCCCGAGCUUAACUUGGGGGCUGCAUUUCAAACUGGAGGUCUAGAGUGCAGGAGAGGAGAGUGGAAUUCCUAGUGUAGCGGUGAAAUGCAUAGAGAUUAGGAAGAACACCAGUGGCGAAGGUGACUCUCUGGACUGUAACUGACGCUGAGGCACGAAAGCGGGGGGAGCAAACAG